Long non-coding RNA from Brassica rapa (field mustard), 3099 nucleotides. RefSeq lists it as uncharacterized. The record is from RefSeq and is a predicted model, not a curated record. Lineage: Eukaryota; Viridiplantae; Streptophyta; Magnoliopsida; Brassicales; Brassicaceae.
UGAAAAAAUGUUUUUUGUGAUUUUGGCAUGAAAACACGUUUUUCGGCUUUUGCGGGAAAACACGUUUUUGCAAUUUUGACGGGAAAACACGUUUUUACAAUUUUGGCGGCAAAAAAUAGUUUUUAAGUUUUCGCGGGAAAACGUGUUUUUGUAGUUUUGUCAGUUUUCGUAUGUGACAAAAAUGAUAUUAUCUUUAGGAUUGUAAUUUGUGAAUUACAUUAGGGGCAUAAUAGAUAUUAUACCAUUUUGAAUGAACCAUCUCCAUUCAAAUGAUACAAAUUGGUUCAGCUGAAUGGACUUUAAAAUUAAGCCUAAAUUUCCAAAAGUCAUCCGGAUGAUCCAUCUGAAUGAGUUGCAUUUUUAGUGCCUAAACAAACAAAACUCUUAUCUUCAUCCAAAUGACUUAUCGAGAUGAAGAAACAAACUAAUCCUGGAUUUUCAAAUCAUUAGGAGGGAUAUCCAAGGAGGAAGUGAAAACGUAUUUGUGGGGAAAUUUAAGAGAGAAGUAAGUAAUUUCGUGUAAACUUUCUCCUCCUUCUUAUUUGUCUUUCAUAUGAACCUAUUUCUCCGGUUACCUGUUUAUCAAAUGCUUGAGGAUCCUGGACAGACAAGAAGUUACUAUUGCACAGGUUAUCUGCAACAAGUGGAACUGUAUCACCAUUGUUAAUUAAAGGAGUUGAAAUUUUGGGGAUAAAACUCAGUGACUGCUCGAGUGUGAUUCAUUUCACGAUUACAUGCUUUUCAACACAUUCGUUGUGUUUAUUUUUCUCCACCAGUUAGGGGACUGCACGAGUGUGAUUCAUUUGUGUCAGUUUCUGGUGCAUAAACUGUUGAUCCUAUUCCGCUCUCCGGACGCACUGCAAAUUUAGGGAUGUCCGAGUUGGGAAGCAGCAUGCGUUAGCUUUCAAGGCACAAAAAGAUGUGAAUGUCAUCUCAUGGAACAGGUUCUUUUGCCAAGAAUGGGAUGCUCUGGUAUCACAUUUUGAGAAGCAUAAGCAUCCUACCACGUCGAUUGAGUAAGGCACUCAUGAAUCCUCGACUCUUGCAGCCUCUUCUGGCGAUAACCAGCUCACAUAUGGGAUUUAUCCUUAGAAAAGGAUGAAGAAGAGGAAGCAGAGUUCAAAGCAUAUACACCAAGGAACAACUGAACAAGUUAAAACGCCUCGUGACUUGCCUUCUUAGCUUCUUUUCUUUUACCAGAAAAUCAGCGUCAAGGACUUGAAAGGACUUCACUGGCACAACCAGAUUCCAGGGAUGAUCAUCUCAGCUGCUUCUGAAUUCUGAUAGUUUCAACAGUUUCGAUGCCUUACAACAUGUAGAACACCCUUCCUGAUCUCGGUUCCUAAGAAGAUUGAGUCUCUGAAAAAAUUUCAAGUAUUGUAGUCUCUGAAAAAAUUUCAACAUGUUGAGUUUUGUAUUGUCAUCUCUCUUUUCUACUGAAAUAUAUUUUCAUUGAUAGCAAGUUUAAUGAAUUGUACUCUUUCACAACUUAACGUUUCACAAAUAAGUUUUGAAAAUCAUUCUCAUCUCCACGAGUUUCUAUUAUUUCACAACUUUUAAGCUUUCAUCACUGGUUGAUUUGCUUGCGGUUGCCACAAAAUGAGAAAACAAUUUGAAGAAAAAAAGGCCAACAAUUCGUGAAACUGUCUGAGAUAGAAAAAUAAUCAUUGGAGGACCAUUCCUUAUGAUCAUCGGUCCUCAGUCAACAACUACUGGUCGAGGGUGUUUGGAUGCGGCACAACUAUGUUUCGCUACAAAAGAGAAAAUCUACAUUUAAAACACUGAAAACUAAAAAAGAAACUGAAGAAAAACAACAUUUAUAUGCAUGACCAUUCAUUAAAAAAAGGUAAUGCAUCAAUUGCUGACUAACACAAGAUUAAUGAAAAGAAAAGAGAAAUAUAUUUUUUUCAAAAUUAGUGGUGCAUCUAAAUAACCAAAAUUUAAAGAUAACACAGCAUAGCGAAAAAACAAAACUUUAAAAGUUUCAAAAAGUUCUGAGAGAGAGAGAGAGAAAGCUCCAUACUCUCCCUAAAAACUCAGUUUCUCUUUUCAGAUCUGGUUAAGACCGGCGUGCGUGGGCUUACACAGCCACAACGUCGGUCUUAAUCCUUCCUUUAGCUUGCUUUUGGUGUUGGGUUUCUCGUGUUUGAUAGAGAUUUCUUCUUGGUGGUUGUGUGAUUACGGUGGAAGAGGUUUCCCGGUUCGAUCUCCGGUCAGAGCUAACUAAUCCUUUUGAUUAUGACGAAGAAGACGCCGGAUCUGGUAAAGGUACAGAGCAAUUCACCUGCAAAUGUCUUCUUCUCUGCAUUUUACUGAGCUUCUGUUAAGAUCUUGCUGUCCGGGGACCAAUUCCAUUAACUCUCGCCAUGUUUUGAGAUCUCUGCUCCGUUCAAGGGUGUUUAUGGCUUUAGAAAGGCUGAAUCUGAGGUGUCUUUGUUGGGAUUUUAGUGUCAAUCUUCUUUUACCUUCGUUCUAGCUUCGGUGUAAACGGUGUGCGAUGGUGGCGUGGUGGUGUGAGGAAAUCAGAACAUGUCUAACAUCUUUGAGAAGUUUCAGGUUGCUUGUCCCGCUCUAGAAAAGAGUCAUUGUCGCGGCCUUUGGAUAAGUGUAUUUCUCGGUUUGUCUUUUGCUCUCGUGUUCCUCGGUUGCUUCGGCUAAUCGAAGCAGUAUAAUGAGGUUGAGGGUAGUAAGGUUUCUGAUGAAGGUUCGUUUGAAGAGGGAGCUUGCCCCAGUUGUAGUUCUUCUCUGGUUGGUAUAUGAUGUUAUUCUUGUUGGUUUUGGCUUGGUACUGUGAACUGGAGGUUCAGGUAAGUUUAGUUCUGUUUCGUUGUUAUGGCCACUGCAUCGCUUCCUCUCUCGUCAAGAGUUCCGGCUGUUCAAAUCGUAAAAGGAUUAAUAUUGUUAUCCUUUGUCAAAGAUUGUCUUUACUUUGGUUAUAUGAGUCUAGAGUUCUCUUGUGUUGGUUGUAGUUUUAUCAAGUGUCACCCUUUAUUUGGGUUUAAGUCACCCGUUGUUUGGGUUCAUGUCUCCCUGUUGUGGGUUUAAGAUCUCACUCUUGUAUGUUCUGUUCUACAAGUUUUAUUAAUCAAAACCAGUUGG